This 405-nucleotide ribosomal RNA is filed under the name Clostridioides difficile. RNAcentral's name for it is "bacterial LSU rRNA". It matches the Rfam family "Bacterial large subunit ribosomal RNA", at positions 956 to 1368 of the family's 2925-position model. Lineage: Bacteria; Bacillati; Bacillota; Clostridia; Peptostreptococcales; Peptostreptococcaceae. The record is from RNAcentral.
CCGAAUGCCGUCAUCUUAUACUUGGGAGUCAGACUGUGGGUGAUAAGAUUCAUAGUCGAAAGGGCAACAGCCCAGAUCGUCAGCUAAGGUCCCUAAAUGUAAGUUAAGUGGUAAAGGCUGUGGGAUUGCACAGACAACCAGGAUGUUGGCUUAGAAGCAGCCACUCAUUCAAAGAGUGCGUAAUAGCUCACUGGUCGAGUGAUCCGGCGCCGAAGAUUUCCGGGGCUAAAACUUACUACCGAAGCUACGGCAUCAGUAAUGAUGGGUAGGGGAGCUUCCCAUACGGGUUGAAGCAUGACCGUAAGGACAUGUGGACAGUAUGGGAGUGAGAAUGUUGGCAUGAGUAGCGAGAUGUGGGUGAGAAUCCCACAGGCCGUAAACCCAAGGUUUCCAGGGGAAGGUUCG